Molecule: ribosomal RNA, 253 nt
Filed under: uncultured bacterium
Lineage: Bacteria
Description: partial 16S ribosomal RNA
Rfam family: Bacterial small subunit ribosomal RNA
Source: RNAcentral
UACGGGGGGGGCAAGCGUUGUUCGGAAUUACUGGGCGUAAAGGGUUCGUAGGUGGCUUGCUAAGUCAGACGUGAAAUCCCUCAGCUUAACUGGGGAACUGCGUCUGAGACUGGUGAGCUUGAGUGCAGGAGAGGAACGCGGAAUUCCAGGUGUAGCGGUGAAAUGCGUAGAUAUCGGAAGGAACAUCAGUGGCGAAAGCGGCUUCCUGGACCAGCACCGACGUUCAGGCACGAAAGCGUGGGGAGCAAACAGG